ACGGGUGAGUAACACGUGGGCAACCUACCCUAUAGUUUGGGAUAACUCCGGGAAACCGGGGCUAAUACCGAAUAAUCUCUUUUGCUUCAUGGCAAGAGACUGAAAGACGGUUUCGGCUGUCCCUAUUGGAUGGGCCCGCGGCGCAAUAACUAGUUGGUGAGGUAACGGCUCACCAAGGCGACCAUGCCUAACCCACCUGAAAGGGUGAUCGGCCACACUGGGACUGAAACACGGCCCAAACUCCUACCGGAGGCAGCAGUAGGGAAUCUUCCACAAUGGGCGAAAGCCUGAUGGAACAACCCCCCGUGAGUGAAGAAGGUUUUCGGAUCCUAAAACUCUGUUGUAAGGGAAGAACAAGUACAGUAAUAACUGGCUGUACCUUGACGGUACCUUAUUAAAAAGCCACGGCUAACUACCUGCCAGCAGCCGCGGUAAUACCUAAGUGGCAAGCGUUGUCCGGAAUUAUUGGGCGUAAAGCGCGCGCAGGCGGUCCUUUAAGUCUGAUGUGAAAGCCCACGGCUCAACCGUGGAGGGUCAUUGGAAACUGGGGGACUUGAGUGCAGAAGAGGAAAGUGGAAUUCCAAGU
RNAcentral lists this ribosomal RNA (586 nucleotides) under Lysinibacillus sp. HRTP174. Its description in RNAcentral is "bacterial SSU rRNA". It matches the Rfam family "Bacterial small subunit ribosomal RNA", at positions 102 to 674 of the family's 1533-position model. Lineage: Bacteria; Bacillati; Bacillota; Bacilli; Caryophanales; Bacillaceae. The record is from RNAcentral.